AAAUAUUUAAUUAUUAACUUGUUUAUUAAAUCGUUACACGACACGACCCAGGGUCUGAACCCCGGGUCUGUGCUCAGAGCUGGUUUGGUCGAUUUUUUAGACCCAAACCCCGGGUCUGGUUUUAUACAACCAACCAAUUAACAACACUAGGCAACCCUGGUCAGUAAAUACAAAUAUGGAGAUGGUAGGUUAUGAGUCCACUAAUAUGUUUGGGUCAGUAAAUACAAAUAUGGGGAUGGUAGGUGAUGAAUCCACUAAUAUGUCUGGGUCAGUAAAUACAAAUAUGGAGAUGUUAGAUUUUGGGGCAAGUUUUAAUUCAUGACUGCUAUCUCUAACUGUGAAAGAAAGGUGAAUGCUAAUUAUAAUAUACAUCAGUCAGAUGCUCUAAAAAAUUGUACAGAGCAAAUGAAAAAUCAACAUAUUUAUAAAAGAAUAAGUUAUAUCUGUAAACAAGGUGGUAUUUUUAAGAGUAAAGGAAAAAGUCUAAGAAAUACAAAAAGCUUCAGACAAAAUUGCACCAGUAAUUUUGUUGUCAAGUUGAUUAAAAGAGGUACAAAUCAAUUGGUGGUUACUCGUUUUCAUGAUACACAUAACCAUGAAUUAGAUAGCAACUUAUAUAAAAGAUUAUUCAAACAACGUAAAUUAAAUGAUAAAGAAAAAGAGUAUAUAAUAGCUGGACAUGAUGGCAAUAUUUCAAAAAUCCAAUCAGAUAUUCAAAAAUUAGAUAAAUUAACAACAAAAAGAGACCUGUAUAAUUUAAAAUACAAGAUUCCAAUUAAUAAUUCCAAUGAAUUAUCCACCCUUAUUGCCACAAUAAAAAAAGAUAAUCCAACUAAUAUUAUACAAGUAUUGAUGGAAAAUGACAAUUUUAAAGCUUUUUAUUUCCAAACUCCUAAAAUGAGGGAAUACUUUGAUUUCUUCCCAGAAAUAUUAUUAAUUGAUGCCACCUAUUCCCUAAAUAAAUAUAUAUUGCCUGUAAUUACUUUGUUUGUUGUAGAUGGGUUUGUUUGCAUAUGGGUUGAUAAAUCAGAAAGUUAUUCUAUAGUAAAAAUGAUGUGUGACAAUUACAAUUCAAAACAUGAUAAAAUACGAUGCAUUAUAUCGGAUAAGGACUUUGCAGACAGGCAUGCCUACAAAGAUGCCUUUCCAGAGGAAUCAUUAGAGAUAUGCUUAUUCCAUGUUUUUUGGGCAUUCAACCAAGAAAUUACAGUUAACAAAAGGAAUAUUUCAAAAGAACAAGUAAAAAUAGUUAAAAAGGUCUAUGGUUUAUGCCAAGUCUACUGCAAAAUAUUUUAUACAAUAUCAAAAUUUAUUGCAAUUAAAUAUUGUAUCAAUUACCAAUUAUUAUAAUAAUAACUGGCACUCAAUAAAAGAAGAAUUUUGUAUGGCGACAGAGGGACAACAAAUAGUUGUAGACCAAAAUCAAUGUAACUGUGGACUCACAAAAUCGUUAUUGCUUCCUUGUAUGCAUAUAUUUUUUUAUAGAAAGAAAAAUGAUAUCAACAUUUUUACCCCAAAUCUUGUAAUGAAAGAUGGUAUCGAAAUUAUUUCACCCUUACUGGAGAAAUUAGUAGUGAUAAUUAUAUUAACAAUAUCAUAGAAAACUGUAAUAAUGAUAUUAAUAGUGAAAUUAGUCAUUGAUUCACAAAGAAAUAUAAAAAUACACGAAUUACCUAAGAAAAUCAUAACAACCAAAACUCAAAAGUUCAAACAUUUUCAUGAACUGGCCCUUCUAAUAUAAACAUUUGCAUCCGAAUUGUCAAAAGAUCAAUAUAAUAAAUAUUAUGAUUUUUUUCACAAAUAUAUGAGGCAAGGGGAAAUAUUCCUGAAAUAUUUAAAGAAAAAAAUUAAGAUAGUAACCAAAAUUCUGAAGGAGCCAUACUUGAUAAUUUAUCUCUUUUAAAUUCAAUAAAGAUGCCACCCUUAAAAAUGGGCUAUUUGAAACAAAUGGACAUAAAAAAAGGAAAAACAUGUGGAAAUGUUAAAAUUACCAUUCAUAUAAGCAAUGGCAUAUCUGAGCCUGACCAUAACUCAAAUUAUCUUUUAUCUUUUGAAUAUUUUUAUUUAGGCAAGGAAAAUAAAGUGAACAAAAAUCCUUUCACUUCACUACCAAAGAAUAAUAGAAUAGCAGUAUCUUAGUUGCAAUCUGUUUUUGCAAAUUUAACCAAUCACAUUCAAAAUAUGGGACCCCCCAAAGCUAUAGAUGUUAUUCAAUACUCUGAUGAUUCUUUGGCUACAUCGUCAAAUAACGAUUCGUUAUUUUUGUCUCAAUCAACUAUAUGACAGGAAUUGGGAGAUUCAUUUUCUGAAGAAGCGUCAUCAUCUAUGCUGAUGGAUAUAAAAAAUCAUUCACUAUGACCCCAAACAAAACAAGAAAAAAAUGUAAUCUUUGUAGUACCGUAUACAAAUUCUCAACUUCCCAAAAAUUGUUCUUAUCUGUUUUGGAUAACGGUUACUAUUAGGGGAGAGUGGGCUUAGUUAGACCCCGGGGAUUUGCCCACUUAAUCUCAUUUUAUAACUACACCAGAAGCGAAUAUGAAAAAACAUAUGAAAUCAGUGCAUCCAAAUAUAUUUAAUGAGAUGGCUCAGGGAUCCUCCAUUUAUGACACGAUGCUUGGGAUGCGGAAGCCCUUACCCCAUGAAAAUUUGAUGAUUAAUAAACUAAUCCUAAUAUUCCUAAUAAAGACAAAUAUAUCUUUUAGCACCAUUGAUAAUUCAGCCUUUAAAAGAAUAUUCAAUUAUGCAAAUAAAAAUAUUAAGUUAUGGUGUAGACAGACCAUUAAAAAAAAUCUUGAUAAUGUAUAUAAUUUGGCCAAAAAUAACUUAAUUGAAAAAUUAAAUAAUCAUACAAAUUUGUUUUCUAUUACUACUGAUAUCUGGACUGCUAAUAAUAUUAUGUCCUUCUGUGCCCUUACCUUUCAUUAUAUAAAUAAAAAUUGGGUAAAUAUCAAUCUGGUAUUGCAUAUGAUUGCGUUUCCUCAUCCACACACAGGAGAUGAAAUUUGCAAAAUUGUCUUAUUUUUAUUAGAAGAAUUCAAAUUAAAAGAUAGAAUACUGUCAAUAACACAUGUUAAUGGAUCUAAUGAGGUCAAGGCAGUCCAAUUGCUGCAAAAAUAUUAUCAAUCCCAUUACUCAAAAAUUUUAUAUGGAUAUCGCUGCUUGGCCCACAUCAUUAAUUUAAUAGUAAAGGUUGGCCUUAAUUGUUUUGAGGAGAAAUUGAAAAAUAUAGAACAGAUAGUGGCUAAAUUACAUAGCUCGUCAAAAUUCAUGCAAUCAUACAAAGCAGUAAGUGGGGCAACUAAGAUACUUCUUGCUGUUAAAACGCGAUGGAACAGCAAAUACCUAAUGAUAUCCUCUAUUAAUAAGAAUAUGAAUGCUAUACAAGACCUGGUCAAACAAGGUAUAAUAGGGACAGAUAUUACUCCAACUCCUGAUGAUUGCGCGUUCUUCAUAAAAAAAAGCGCAUCAAAUGGAACUAAUGAUAAUAGUUAAUUAAUGACAUAUCUCGAUGAGCCACUCGCUCCCGAAAUUACACAUAUAUUAGAUUGGUGGAGAGGAAAUGCUGAACGUUUUCCUCAUUUAGCAAUGAUGGCUAGGGAUUAUCUAUGCCAACAGACAACCUCAGUGGCAUCGGAAAGAGCUUUUUCCUUGGCCGGAAAUAUUAUGACUAAACUGAGGAACAAGAUGGCCCCAUCGACGCUGAAGCAAUUAUGGCACUAUCCUCCUGGCGGGACUUGCAGUAUGUUCUCUCUACCGAUCGGAAUAUAUAAUGGAAUGGGAAUUUUAACAUAAUAUUAUAUUUUAAAUGUAUAUUAUAUUAUUUUUUUUUCAUUAUAUUUAUAAUAAUACUAUAAUUAUAUUUAUUAAUUUAUUUGUUUAAAUAUAAAUUAUAAUAAAAUAUCAUCAUAUUUUGCGAUUUUUAAGAUGUUUAU
Gordionus sp. m RMFG-2023 is the source of this 3932-nucleotide RNA transcript. RefSeq lists it as uncharacterized. The record is from RefSeq and is a predicted model, not a curated record. NCBI's taxonomy places the organism in Eukaryota, Metazoa, Nematomorpha, Gordioida, Chordodea, Parachordodidae. The transcript has 14 exons.